UUAUGUCUUGGGCUUCACGCAUGUUACAAUGGCCGGUACAAAGGGCUGCGAUGUCGUAAGGCGGAGCGAAUCCCAAAAAGCCGGUCUCAGUUCGGAUUGAGGUCUGCAACUCGACCUCAUGAAGUCGGAGUCGCUAGUAAUCGCAUGAUCUUGCAACGCUGCGGUGAAUACGUUCCCGGGCCUUGUACAGACCCUUCAAGUCAUGAAAGUCGGUAACACCC
Molecule: ribosomal RNA, 221 nt
Filed under: Agromyces sp.
Lineage: Bacteria; Bacillati; Actinomycetota; Actinomycetes; Micrococcales; Microbacteriaceae
Description: partial 16S ribosomal RNA
Rfam family: Bacterial small subunit ribosomal RNA
Source: RNAcentral